Molecule: ribosomal RNA, 769 nt
Filed under: uncultured Planctomycetota bacterium
Lineage: Bacteria; Pseudomonadati; Planctomycetota
Description: bacterial SSU rRNA
Rfam family: Bacterial small subunit ribosomal RNA
Source: RNAcentral
GAACGAGGAUAUAUCCUUCGGGAUAUAAGCCGAGUGGCGCAAGGGUGAGUAAUGCAUAGAUUACCUGCCUCUAGGAUAAGGACAACUUUGUGAAAACGAAGCUAAUACUUAAUAAUACAAAUGGAAAUAAUUUUCAUUUGUCAAUGGGAGGGUAGCAAUACCUUUUGCCUAGAGAGGGGUUUAUGUCCUAUCAGCUUGUUGGUGGGGUAAUGGCCUACCAAGGCGAAGACGGGUAGCCGGUCUUAGAGGAUGGUCGGCCACACUGGGACUGAGACACUGCCCAGACUUCUACGGAAGGCUGCAGUCGAGAAUCUUUCGCAAUGCCCGAAAGGGUGACGAAGCGACGCCGCGUGAGUGAGGAAGGCCUUCGGGUUGUAAAGCUCUGUCAGGAGUUAAGAAAUAUAAGUGUGCUAAUAUCACAUUUAUUUGACGAAGGCUCCAAAGGAAGCCACGGCUAACUCUGUGCCAGCAGCCGCGGUAAUACAGAGGUGGCAAGCGUUGUUCGGAAUUAUUGGGCGUAAAGAGCACGUAGGUGGGUUUGUAAGUCAGAUGUGAAAGCCUUCUGUUCAACGGAAGAAUUGCAUCUGAAACUGCGAGUCUUGAGUAUAGGAGGGGAGAAUGGAACUUCUGGUGGAGCGGUGAAAUGCGUAGAUAUCAGAAGGAACGCCGGCGGCGAAAGCGAUUCUCUGGCCUAUUACUGACACUCAGUGUGCGAAAGCUAGGGGAGCAAACGGGAUUAGAUACCCCGGUAGUCCUAGCCGUAAACGAU